ACUAGAAAGAGAUCAAUCUUUUGUGAUAGUAGAAAAAGAAAGACUUGAAAUGGCAAAGGCGGAACUCCAAGAAAAGCAAGACAAAGUUCACGGUCUACAGAGCGAUUUGAACAGUGACAGAGAAAAGAUGGACCAUUUACUUCUUGAAGGCCAAAAGAAAAUCCAAGAACUUCAUAAAGAGAUACAACACAUGGCCCAAAAACAGAAACAACAAGAGCUUCUAGACAGUGACCUGAAACAAUUGACUGAUGAUCUCCAAAUUGGGCAGGAAAAUCUAAUUAAACAACAGGAGGAAGUUCAACGUUUUAAGAGUGAUGUCAUGAAUAAGAAGGAGGAGCUUAAAGUGAUCAUGGAAAGAAUCUUUGAAGAGACAGCACAGCUUGAACAAGAGAAGCUUGAUAUUCAUGAAGAGCGAAGAAAGGCCUUGGACGAAAGGACGAUGCUAGAAAGAGAUUUGUCGGAAGUAAGGAUGAGAGAAGAAGAGGCCAUGCAAACGAUAAGACACAACACAAAUAUGAAAGAGGCAAUAAAAGAGUUGGUUGAAAAGACACAUCAAGACAUUACAAUGAAGAUGCAAUUCAUAGAGCAGAAGAUUCUCGAUGCACAAAAUCAGACAACUAACUUGGACGUUCAGCAAAAAGAAAUGGAAGAGCAGAAAUUGGAGAUUGACACACACUUUGAACAAAUACAAAGACUCAGUGAAGAUCUGAUCAAUUUGAAAUCGGACAUGAUGGUACAAAAACAAGAAAUGCAAAAGAAUUGGAACGAGGAGCUGCUACUGGAGAAACAAGAUCUCAAUACGGAAAAGGAAGCAGUAGACAGGCAAAGCAAAUAUCUGGACACAGUCAAAGAAACAAUCAACAAAGACAACCUUGACUUGGAUAUCAUGAGGUCUGAAAUCCAGAAAGAAACAGAGGCACUGGAAAGAGAGAAAGAAAAGAUCCGGGAACAAACUGAGAUACUAGAAAGAGAUCAAUCUUUUGUGAUAGUAGAAAAAGAAAAACUUGAAAUGGCAAAGGCGGAACUCCAAGAAAAGCAAGACAAAGUUCACGGUCUACAGAGCGAUUUGAACAGUGACAGAGAAAAGAUGGACCAUUUACUUCUUGAAGGCCAAAAGAAAAUCCAAGAACUUCAUAAAGAGAUACAACACAUGAACCAAAAACAGAAACAACAAGAGCUUCUAGACAGUGACCUGAAACGAUUGACUAAUGAUCUCCAAAUUGGGCAGGAAAAUCGAAUAAAACAACAGGAGGAAGUUCAACGUUUUAAGAGUGAUGUCAUGAAUAAGAAGGAGGAGCUUAAAGUGAUCAUGGAAAGAAUCUUUGAAGAGACAGCACAGCUUGAACAAGAGAAGCUUGAUAUUCAUGAAGAGCGAAGAAAGGCCUUGGACGAAAGGACGAUGCUAGAAAGAAUCUUUGAAGGGACAGCACAGCUUGAACAAGAGAAGCUUGAUAUUCAUGAAGCGCGAAGAAAGGCCGUGGACGAAAGGACGAUGCUAGAAAGAGAUUUGUCGGAAGUAACGAUGAGAGAAGAAGAGGCCAUGCAAACGAUAAGACACAACACAAUUAUGAAAGAGGCAAUAAAAGAGUUGGUUGAAAAGACACAUCAACACAUUACAAUGAAGAGGCAAUUAAUAGAGCAGAAGAUUCUGAAUGCACAAAAUCUGACAACUAUCUUGGAAAUUCAGAAAAAAGAAAUUGA
This is a long non-coding RNA of Gadus morhua (Atlantic cod), 1701 nucleotides long. NCBI's taxonomy places the organism in Eukaryota, Metazoa, Chordata, Actinopteri, Gadiformes, Gadidae. The record is from Ensembl.